GGCGGACGGGUGAGUAAUGCCUAGGAAUCUGCCUGGUAGUGGGGGAUAACGUCCGGAAACGGGCGCUAAUACCGCAUACGUCCUGAGGGAGAAAGUGGGGGAUCUUCGGACCUCACGCUAUCAGAUGAGCCUAGGUCGGAUUAGCUAGUUGGUGGGGUAAAGGCCUACCAAGGCGACGAUCCGUAACUGGUCUGAGAGGAUGAUCAGUCACACUGGAACUGAGACACGGUCCAGACUCCUACGGGAGGCAGCAGUGGGGAAUAUUGGACAAUGGGCGAAAGCCUGAUCCAGCCAUGCCGCGUGUGUGAAGAAGGUCUUCGGAUUGUAAAGCACUUUAAGUUGGGAGGAAGGGCAGUAAGUUAAUACCUUGCUGUUUUGACGUUACCAACAGAAUAAGCACCGGCUAACUUCGUGCCAGCAGCCGCGGUAAUACGAAGGGUGCAAGCGUUAAUCGGAAUUACUGGGCGUAAAGCGCGCGUAGGUGGUUCAGCAAGUUGGAUGUGAAAUCCCCGGGCUCAACCUGGGAACUGCAUCCAAAACUACUGAGCUAGAGUACGGUAGAGGGUGGUGGAAUUUCCUGUGUAGCGGUGAAAUGCGUAGAUAUAGGAAGGAACACCAGUGGCGAAGGCGACCACCUGGACUGAUACUGACACUGAGGUGCGAAAGCGUGGGGAGCAAAC
RNAcentral lists this ribosomal RNA (680 nucleotides) under uncultured bacterium. Its description in RNAcentral is "bacterial SSU rRNA". It matches the Rfam family "Bacterial small subunit ribosomal RNA", at positions 97 to 773 of the family's 1533-position model. The record is from RNAcentral.